RNAcentral lists this ribosomal RNA (253 nucleotides) under uncultured bacterium. RNAcentral describes it as "partial 16S ribosomal RNA". It matches the Rfam family "Bacterial small subunit ribosomal RNA", at positions 524 to 776 of the family's 1533-position model. The record is from RNAcentral.
UACGUAGGGGGCAAGCGUCAUCCGGAUUUACUGGGUGUAAAGGGGGCGCAGACGGCGAUGCAAGCCAGGAGUGAAAGCCCGGGGCCCAACCCCGGGACUGCUCUUGGAACUGCGUGGCUGGAGUGCAGGAGGGGCAGGCGGAAUUCCUGGUGUAGCGGUGAAAUGCGUAGAUAUCAGGAGGAACACCGGUGGCGAAGGCGGCCUGCUGGACUGCAACUGACGUUGAGGCCCGAAAGCGUGGGGAGCAAACAGG